RNAcentral lists this ribosomal RNA (433 nucleotides) under uncultured bacterium. RNAcentral describes it as "partial 16S ribosomal RNA". It matches the Rfam family "Bacterial small subunit ribosomal RNA", at positions 29 to 507 of the family's 1533-position model. The record is from RNAcentral.
AACGAACGCUGGCGGCAUGCCUAACACAUGCAAGUCGAACGAGACCUUCGGGUCUAGUGGCGCACGGGUGCGUAACGCGUGGGAACCUGCCCUUAGGUUCGGAAUAACUCCCCGAAAGGGGUGCUAAUACCGGAUAAUGUCUUCGGACCAAAGAUUUAUCGCCUUUGGAUGGGCCCGGGUUGGAUUAGCUGGUUGGUAGGGUAAAAGCCUACCAAGGCGACGUUCCAUAGCUGGUCUGAGAGGAUGAUCAGCCACACUGGGGAUGAGACACGGCCCAGAAUCCUACGCGAGGGGGCAGUGGAGAAUAUAGGACAAUGGGGGAAAGCCUGACCCCGCAAUGCCGGGUGAGUGAUGAAGGCCUUAGGGUUGUAAAGCUCUUUUACCCGGGACGAUAAUGACAGUACCGGGAGAAUAAGCUCCGGCUAACUACGUG